This 13583-nucleotide long non-coding RNA is filed under the name Capsicum annuum. Its description in RNAcentral is "long non-coding RNA (CANN_LNC003850)". The record is from RNAcentral. Lineage: Eukaryota; Viridiplantae; Streptophyta; Magnoliopsida; Solanales; Solanaceae.
UCCUGUGUUGGUUUUUCAUGUGCUUCUUCAGUUACUGGUUUUUCAGGUUUCUCCUUAGUUGUUGGUUCUUCGCUUGUCUCCUCAGCUGAUUGUUCUUCAAGCUUCUCUCCUGUUGUUGAUUUUUCUGGUUUCUCUUCAAUUAUCGGUGGUUCAGGUUUUUUCUCAACCGGUGAUUCUUCUGGUUUCUCCAAAACCAUUGAUUCUUCAUGUUUUUUUUCAACUACUGACUCUUCAGUGUUUUCCUCAACUGAUGCAUAGUCAGCAAUAUCGUUGUUGGUAUUGCUUGGAAUUGCAUUGUCUAUCUUGUCCUUUGAGUUUACUUUUGGCAUAUUCUGCAAUGAAGUUUCACGUAGUCUUUCAAUAGAUAAACAAAUGUAAAUUUGUUGCACAUAUAAAAGCUAAUAUGAUGGAUAAAAUUUGUGCCAGUGUUUAAUCCUCACCUUCUCCUGAAGAGCUUCCGCUUCAAGUUCCUCCUCUUCAAUUGCAGGUUUUUCAUCUUUCUCUCCAACAACUAGUUCUUCAGGUUUCUCUUCAAGUGCCAGUUCUUCAGGUGUUUCCUCCUUUGCCAGCUCUUCAGGUGUUUCCUCCUUUGCCAGCUCUUCAGGUGUUUCUUUAGCUGCCGGUUCUUCAGGUUUCUCUUCAACCUCCGGUUCUUGUGGUAUUUCCUCUACUUGUACUUCAGAUUUCUCCUCAAUUGUUGGUUCUUCAGGUUUCUCUCUAACCGCUGCUGCAUUAGGUUUCUCUUCAUUGGCUGGUUCUUCAGGUUUUUCUUCAACUACCGAUUCUUCAGGAUUUUCCUCAAUGUUUGGAAAGGGAGCGACAUCAUUAUUGGUAUUGCAUGGAAUUUCACUGCCAGUUUUGUCAUUCAAGUCCACAACUAGUAUAUUCUGCAAAAGAGUUUAAUGUUUCACUUAGUCUUUCAAUAAAGAAGCAGAUGCGAAUCAUUACAUAUACAUAACUAAUAACAUGGAUAAACUUUAUGACAGUAGUUGACCCUUACCUUUUCCACAAGAGUUACUUUUGCAGGUUUCUCCUCUUCAAGUGCUGGUUUCUCUUCAAAUGAUAGUUCAUUAGGUGUUUCUUCCCGUGUUGGUUCUUCAUGUGCUUCUUCAGUUACUGGUUUUUCAGGUUUCUCCUCAAUUGUUGGUUCUUCGCUUGUCUUCUCAACUGAUGGUUCCUCAUGCUUCUCUCCCGUUGUUGAUUUUUCGGGUUUCUCUUCAGUUGUCGAUGGUUCAGUUUUUUUCUCAACCGCUGGUUCUUUUGGCUUCUCCAAAACCAUUUCCGAUUUCUCUUCAGUUGGUGGUUCUUCAUGGUUUUUUUCAACUACUGGUUCUUCUCUUUUUUCCUCAACUGAUGCAUAGUCAGCAAUAUCGUUGUUGGUAUUGCUUGGAAUUGCAUUGUCUGUCUUGUCCUUUGAGCUUACAAUUGGCAUAUUCUGCUAGAAAAAUAUAAAGUUUCAUGUAGUCUUUCAACAGAGAAACCAAUGUAAAUUUGUUGCACAUAUAAAGCUAACAAAUAUGAUGGAUAGACUUUGCGAGAGUGUUUAAUACUCACCUUCUCCGGAAGAGCUUCCGUUUCAGGUUCCUCUUCAAUUUCUGCUUUUUCAUCUUUCUCUUCAACAACUAGUUCUUCAGGUGUCUCUUCAACCGUUGAUUCUUCAGGUUUCUCUUCAAGUGUUAGUUCUUGAGGUGUUUCCUCCUUUGCUAGCUCUUCAGGUGUUUCUGUAACUGCCGGUUCUUCAGGUUCCUCUUCAGCCACCGGCUGUUGACGUAUCUCCUCUACUUGUACUUCAGAUUUCUCCUCAAUUGUUGGUUCUUCAGGUUUCUCCUUAACCGCUGGUACAUCAGGUUUAUCCUCAUUGACUGGUUCUUCAACUGCUGAUUCUUCUAGAUUUUCCUCAAUGUCUGGAAAGCGAGCAACAUCAUUAUUGGUAUUGCAUGGAAUUUCAUUUCCAGUUUCGUUAUUCGAGUCUACAAUUAGCAUAUUCUGCAAAAAGAAUUUAAUGUUUCAUUUAGCCUUUCAAUAAAGAAGCAUAUGCGAAUAACAGUACAUGCAUAACUAACAAAAUGGAUAAACUUUGUGAUAGUGCUUGAUCCUUACCUUUGCCAAAAGAGUUACCUUUUCAGGUUUCUCCUCUUCAACGGUUGGUUCUUCAUGUUUCUUUUCAAAUGCUAGUUCCUUGGUUGUUUCUUCCGGUGUUGGUUCCAUAGGUGUUUCUUCAGUUACUUGUUUUUCGGGUUUCUCUUCAAUUAUUGGUUCUUCGAUUGUCUUCUCAACUGAUGGUUCUUCAAGAUUUUCUCCCACUGUUGGUUUUUGGGGUUUCUCUUCUAUUGUUGGUUGUUCAGGAAUUUUCUCAACUGGUGGUUCUGCUGGAUAUUCCAAAACCAUUGAUUCUUCAGAUUUCUCUUCAAUUGAUGGUUCUUCAUGGGUUUUUUCAACUACUGGUUCUUCAAUUUUUUCCUCAACAGAUGCAUAGUCAACAAUAUCAUUAUUGGUAUUGCUUGGAAUUGCAUCGUCUGUCAUGUCCUUUGAGUUUACUUUUGGCAUAUUCUGCAAUAGAGUUUCAUGUAAUCUUUCAACAGAUAAACAGAUGUAAAUUUGUUGCACAUAUAAAGCUAAUAUGGUGGAUAAACUUUGUGACAGUGUUUAAUCCUCACCUUCUCCUGAAGAUCUUCCGCUUCAAGUUCCUCCUCUACAAUUGCAGUUUUUUCCUCUUCCCCUUCAACAACUAGUUCUUCAGGUGCCUCUUCAGCCGUUGAUUCUUCAGGUUUCUCUUCAAGUGCUAGUUCUUCAGGUGUUUCCUCCUUUGCCAGCUCUUCAGGUGUUUCUUUAGAUGCCGAUUCUUCAGGUUUCUCUUCAGCCAUCGGUUCUUGAGGUAUUUCCUCUACUUGUACUUCAUAUUUCUCCUCAAUUGUUUGUUCUUCAGGUUUCUCUUCAGGUUUCUCCUUAACCACUGGUACAUCAGGUUUCUCUUGAUUAACUGGUUCUUUGGGUUUUUCUUCAACAGCCGAAUCUUCAGGAUUUUCCUCAAUGUCUUGAAAGCAAGCAAUAUCUUUAGUGGUAUUGCAUGGAAUUUCACUGCCAGUUUUGUUGUUCGAGUCUACAAUUAGCAUAUUCUGCAAAAGGAAUUUGAUGUUUCAUUUAGCCUUUUAAUAAAGAAGCAGAUGUGAAUAACAUUACAUGCAUAACUUACAAAAUGGAUAAAUUUUGUGACAGUCCUUGACCCUUACCUUUUCAGGUUUCUCCUCUUCAACAGCUGAUUCUUCAUGUUUCUCUUCAAAUGCUAGUUCUCUGGGUGUUUCUUCCCGUAGUGCUUCUUCAUGUGCUUCUUCAGUUACUGGUUUUUCAGGUUUCUCCUCAAUUGUUGGUUCUUUGAUUGUCUCCUCAACAGAUGGUUCUUCAAGCUUCUCUCCCGUUGUUGAUUUUUCUGGUUUCUCUUCAAUUGCUGGUUGUUCAGGAAUUUUCUCAACAGCUGGUUCUUCUGGCUUCUCUAAAACCAUUGAUUCUUCAGCUUUCUCUUCAAUUGAUGGUUCUUCAUGGUUUUUUUCAACUAUUGGUUCUUCAGUUUUUUCCUCAACGGAUGCAUAGUCAACAAUAUCAUUGUUGGUAUUGCUUGGAAUUGCAUCGUCUGUCAUGUCCUUUGAGUUUACUUUUGGCAUAUUCUACAAUAAAGUUUCAUGUAGUCUUUCAAUAGAUAAACAGAUGUAAAUUUGUUGCAACAUAUAAAGCUAAUAUGGUGGAUAAACUUUGUGACAGUGUUUAAUCCUCACCUUCUCCCGAAGAUCUUCCGCUUUAAGUUCCUCCUCUUCAAUUGCUGUUUUUUCAUCUUUCGUUUCAACAACUAGUUCUUCAGGUGCCUCUUCAGCCGUUGAUUCUUCAGGUUUUUCUUCAAGUGCCAGCUCUUCAGGUGUUUCCUCCUUUGCCAUCUCUUCAGGUGUUUCCUCCUUUGCCAGCUCUUCAGGUGUUUCUUUAGCUGCUGGUUCUUCAGGUUUCUCUUCAGCCGCCAGUUCUUGAGGUAUCUCCUUUUCUACUUCAGAUUUCUCCUCAACUGUUGGUUCUUCAGGUUUCUCUUCAUUAACUGGUUCUUUGGGUUUUUCUUCAACAGCCGAAUCUUCAGGAUUUUCCUCAAUGUCUGGAAAGUGAGCAACAUCUUUAUUGGUAUUGCAUGCAAUUUCACUGUCAGUUUUGUCGUUCAAGUCUACAAUUAGCAUAUUCUGCAAAAAGAAUUUGAUGUUUCAUUUAGCCUAUUAAUAAAGAAGCAGAUGUGAAUAACAUUACAUGCAUAACUUACAAAAUGGAUAAACUUUGUGAUGGUCCUUGACCCUUACCUUUCCAGGCUUCUCCUCUUCAACGGCCAGUUCUUGUUUCUCUUCAAAUGCUAGUUCCCUGGGUGUUUCUUCCUGUAUUGGUUCUUCAUGUGCUUCUUCAGGUACUGGUUUUUCAGGUUUCUCCUCAAUUGUUGGUUCUUCGAUUGUCUCCUCAACAGAUGGUUCUUCAAGGUUCUCUCCCGUUGUUGAGUCUUCUGGUUUCUCUUCAAUUGCUGGUUGUUCAGAAAUUUUCUCAACAGCUGGUUCUUCUGGCUUCUCCAAAACCAUUGAUUCUUCAGCUUUCUCUUCAAUUAAAGGUUCUUCAUGGUUUUUUUCAACUACUGUUUCUUCAGUUUUUUCCUCAACGGAUGCAUAGUCAACAACAUCAUUGUUGGUAUUGCUUGGAAUUGCAUCGUCUGUCAUGUCCUUUGAGCUUACUUUUGGCAUAUUCUGCAAUAAAGUUUCAUGUAGUCUUUCAAUAGAUAAACAGAUGUAAAUUUGUUGCACAUAUAAAGCCAAUAUGGUGGAUACACUUUGUGACAGUGUUUAAUCCUCACCUUCUCCUGAAGAUCUUCCGCUUCAAGUUCUUCCUCUUCAAUUGCUGUUUUUUCAUCUCUCUCUUCAACAACUUGUUCUUCAGGUGCCUCUUCAGCCGUUGAUUCUUCAGGUUUCUCUUCAAGCACUAGUUCUUCAGGUGUUUCCUCCUUUGCCAGCUCUUCAGGUGUUUCUUUAGCUGCCAGUUCUUCAGGUUUCUCUUCAGCUGCCGAUUCUUGAGGUAUUUCCUUUACCUGUACUUUAGAUUUCUCCUCAAAUGUUGGUUCUUCAGGUUUCUCCUUAACCGCAGGUACAUCAGGUUUCUCUUCAGCUGCUGGUUUUUGAGGUUUCUCCUCUACUUGUACCUCGGAUUUCUCCUCAACCAUCGGUUCUUCAGGUUUCUCCUCAACCUCUGGUACGUCAGGUUUCUCUUCAUUAACAAGUUCUUCACUUUUUUCUUCAAUAGUUGAUUCUUCAGGAUUUUCCUUAGUGUCUGGAGAGUAAGCAACAUCAUUAUUGGUAUUGCAUGGAAUUUCACUGCCAGUUGUGUCGUUCGACUCUACCAUUGGCAUAUUCUGCAGAAAGAAUUUAAUGUUUCACUUUGCCUUUCAAUAAAGAAGCCGAUGUAAAUCAGAGGACAUACAUAACUAAAAAAGAUGGAUUAACUUUGUGAUAGUGUUUGACUCUUACCUUUUCGAAAAGAGUUAUCUUUUCAGGUUUCUCCUCUUCAACUGUUGGUUCUUCAUGUUUCUCUUCAAAUGCUAGUUCCUCAGGUGUUUCUUCCUGUAUUGGUUCCUCAGGUGUUUCUUCUUCUGUUACUUGCUUUUCAGGUUUCUCCUCAAUUGUUGGUUCUUUGAUUGUCUCCCCAAUCGAUGGUUCUUCAAGCUUUCCCCCCCCUGUUGGUUUUUCAGGUUUCUCUUCAAUUUUCGGUUGUUCAGGUAUUUUCUCAACUGCCGGUUCUUCUGCCUUCUCCAACACCAUUGAUUCUUCAGAUUCCUCUUCAAUUGAUGAUUCUUCAUGGGUUUUUUUAACUACUGACUCUUCUGUGUUUUCCUCAACUGAUGCAUAAUCAGCAAUGUCGUUGUCGGUAUUGCUUGGAAUUGCAUUGUCUAUCUUGUCCUUUGAGUUUAAUUUUGGCAUAUUCUGCAAUAAAGUUUCAUGUAGUCUUUCAAUAGAUAAACAGAUGUAAAUUUGUUGCACUCAUAAAGCUAAUAUGAUGGAUAAAAUUUGUGACAGUGUUUAAUCCUCACCUUCUCCUGAAAAACUUCUGUUUCAAGUUCCUCCUCUUCAAUUGCUGCUUUUUCAUCUUUCUUCUCUACAACUAAUUCUUCAGGUUCCUCCUCAACGGUUGAUUCUUCAGGCUUUUCUUCAAGUACUAGUUCUUCAGGUGUUUCCUCCUUUGCUAGCUCUUCAGGUGUUCCUUUAGCUGCCGGUUCUUCUGGCUUCUCUUCAGCCUCCGGUUUUUGAGAUAUCUCCUCUACUUGAACUUUAGAUUUCUCAUUAAUUGUUGGUUCUUCAGGUUUCACCUCAACCGCUGGUACAUCAGAUUUCUCCUCAUUAACUGGUUCUUCAGGUUUUUCUUCAACAGCCAAUUCUUCAGGAAUUUCCUCAAUGUCUGGAAAGUGAACAACAUUAUUCUUCGUAUUGCAUGGAAUUUCACUGCCACUGUUGUCGUUCGAGUCUAUAAUUAGCAUAUUCUGCAUAAAGAAUUCAAUGUUUUACUUAGCCUUUCAAUAAAGAAGCAGGUGUGAAUCACAAUACAUGCAUAUCUAACAAAAUGGAUAAACUUUGUGAUAGUGCUUGGCCCUUACCUUUUCUAAAAGAGUUUCCUUUUCAGGUUUCUCCUCUUCGAUGGCUGGUUCUUCAUGUUUCUCUUCAAAUGGUAGUUCAUUUGGUGUUUCUUCUCGUGUUGGUUCUUCAGGUGCUUCCUCAGUUACUGGUUUUACAGGUUUCUCUUCAACUGUUAGUUCUUCGAGUGUCUCCUCCAUCGAUGGUUCCUCAAGUUUCUCUCUUGCUGCUGGUUUUUCAGAUUUAUCUUCAACUAUCGGUUGUUCAGGUUUAUUCUCAAUCGCUGGUUCUGCAGGCUUCUCCGAAACCGCUGAUUCUUCAGAUUUCUCUUCAAUUGGUGAUUCUUCGUGUUUUUUUUCAACUACGGGUUCUUCAGUUUUUUCCUCAACUGAUGCAUAAUCAGCACUAUCAUUGUUGGUAUUGCAUGGAGUUGCAUUUUCUGUCUUGUUCUUUGAGCCUACAAUUGGUGAAUUCUGCAAAAAAUUUAAAAUUUCAUUUAGUCUUUAAAUAGAUAAACAGAUGUAAAUUCAUUGCACAUAUAAAGCUAAUAUGAUAGAUAAACUUUGUGACAGUGUUUAAUCUUCACCUUCUCCUGAAGAGCUUCCAUUUCUAGUUCCUCCUCUUCACUUGCUGGUUUUUCAUCUUUCUCUUCAACAACUAGUUCUUCAGGUGUCUUUAUAGUCUUUGAUUCUUCAGGUGCUUCUUUAUCUGCCCGUUCUUCAGGUUUCUCUUCAGCCACCGGUUCUUGAGGUAUAUUCUCUUGUACUUCAGAUCUCUCCUCAAUUAUUGGUUCUGCAGGUUUCUCUUCAUUGUCUGGUUCUUUGGGUUUUUCUUCGACAGCCAAUUCUUCAAGAUGAUUUUCCUCAAUGUCUGGAAAGUGAGCAACAUCAUUAUUGGUAUUGCAUGGAAUUUCACUGUCAGUUUUGUCGUUCAAGUCUACAAUUAGCACAUUCUGCAAAAAGAAUUUAAUGUUUCACUUAGCCUUGCAACAAAAAAGCAGAUGUGAACAACAAUAUGUGCAUAACUAACAAAAUGGAUAAAUUUUGUGAUAGUGCUUACCUUUUCAGGUUUCUCCUCUUCAACCGCUGGCUCUUCAUAUUUCUCUGCAAGUGCUGGUUUUUCAGGCUUCUCUUCAACUGUCAGUUGUUCAGUUUUCUUAUCAAUGACCAGUUCUUCAAGAUUCUCCGAAACAACAGAUACUACAGAUUUAUUUUCAAGUGCAAGUUCUUCAUGUGUUUCCUCUCCUGCAAACUCUUCAGAUGUUACUUUUGAUGUCGGUGCUACAGGUUUCUCUUCAAGUGCUAGUUCUUCAUGUGUUUCCUCCCCUGCUAGCUCUUCAGUUUUUUCUUUCGAUGUUGGUUCUUCAGGUUCCUCUUUAACCUCUGGUACAUCAUGUUUCUUUUCAAUAACUAAUUCUUCAGGUUUUUCUUCAACUUCAACUGCUGGUUCUUCGAGUUUUUUCUCAAUUUCUGGAAAGUGAGCAGUAUUGUUGUUGGUAUUGCAUGGAAUUUCAUUAUCAGUUUUGUCCUUAGAGUCUACAACUAGCAAAUUCUGCAAGAAGUAUUUAAAGUUUCACUUAGUCUUUUGUAGAUAAGCAGAUGUGAAUUGUUACACUUACAUAACUAAUAGGAUGGAUAAACUUUAUCACAGUGCCUGACCCUCGCCUUAUCCAAAAGAGUUACCUUUUCAGAUUUCUCUUCAAAUGCUAGUUCAUUUGGUGUUUCUUCCCGUGUUGGUUCUUCAGGUGCUUCUUCAGUUACCCUUUUUUCUGGUUUAUCUUCAACUGUUGGUUCUUCUAGUGUCUCCUCAAUCGAUGGUUCUUCAAGUUUCUCCCUUGGUGCUAGUUUUUCAGAUUUAUCUUCAACUGUUGGUUGUUCAUGUUUAUUCUCAACCGCUGAUUCUUCAGGCUUCUCCAAAACCGCUGAGUCUUCAGAUUUCUCUUCAAUUGUUGGUUCUUCAUGUUUUUUUUCAACUACUGGUUCUUCAGUUUUUUCCUCAACUGAUGCAUAAUCAGCAAUAUCUUUGCUGGUAUUGCAUGGAAUUGCAUUUUCUGUCUUGUUCAUUGGGUCUACUAUUGGCGAAUUCUGCAAAAAAAUUUAAAGUUUCUUUUAGUCUUUCAAUAGAUAAACAGAUGUAAAUUCGUUGCGCACAUAAAGCUAAUAUGAUGGAUAAACUUUGUGACUGUUUAAUCCUCACAUUCUCCUGAAGAGCUUCCAUUUCAGGUUUCUCCUCUUCAAUUGCUGGUUUUUCAUCAUUCUCUUCAACCACUAGUUCUUCAAGUGUAUCUUCAACCGUUGGUUUUUCAGGUUUCUCUUUAAGGGUUUCCUCCCCUGCUAGAUCUUCAGAUGUUUCUCUUUCUGUUGGUUCUUCAGGUUUCUCUUCAGCCUCUGGUUUCUUAAUUUUUUCCUCAAAUGAUUCUUCAGAUUUCUGCUCAACUGUUGGUAAAUCAGGUUUCUCUGGUUCCUCGGGUUUUUCUUCAACUGCUGGUUCCUCAACUUUUGCAAAGUUAGCAGCAUCGUUUAGGGUAUUGCAUGGAAAUUCUUUGUCAGUUUUGUUGUUUGAGUCUACAGCUAGCAUUUUCUGCUAGAGGAAUUUAAAGUUUCAGUUAGUCUUUAAGUAGAUAAGCAAAUAUGGACUGUUGCACAUACAUAACUAAGACAAUGGAUAAACUUUGUGCCAGUGCUUGAUCCUCACCUUUUCCAAGAGAGUUACCUUAUUAGGUUUCUCCUCUUUAACUGCUGGUUUUCCACCUUUCUCUUCAACUGCUAGUUGUUCUGUUGUUUCUUCAACUGUUCGUUCUUCAAGUUUUUCUUUGAAUUCUAAUUUUUCCGGUGUUUUUUCCCGUGUUGGUUCUUUUGGUGUUUCUUCAACUACUAGUUCUUCGAGUUUCUCUUCAGCUGCUGUUUUUUCAAAUUUCUCCUGAACCUCUGUUUCUUUCUCUUGCACAACUGGCUCUUCAGGGUUUUUUUCAACUUCUGGUUCUUCAUGUUUCUCUGUAACUGUUGGUUCUUUAUGUUUCUCUUCAAUCAUUGGUUCUUCAUGUUUUUCUUCAACUGCUAGUUCUUCAGAUUUUUCCUCUACUGCUGGAUGGUCAGCAACAUCUUGGUUUCCCUUCUCGAUUAAGUUGUUCCCGUGUUUCCCGCUCGUAUCUGAUUCAGCAUCAUCUAAUCUAGUUUCUUCGACAACGUUAAUAAAUGAGUUACCAAGCACAAAUUGUUCUUGUACCAUUCGACCGUCAUCCUUGUCCGAGCUAGUUGCUGAUUCUUUUGCAUUUUCUGGGUAGCCAUUUGAAGAAAUAUUUUCAGCUGGGCUGAUUUCUACUCUUUCAUCUUCUGUUUUCUCCCCCUGGUGGAAUGAACUCCCGAAGAUCUGUUCAUCUGACUUGUUUGGUGUAUCGACUGACACAUGGACCUCUAUUGAACUGCCAUUUUCUUCAACAGCCUUGGAAACUAAGGGUGAUGCAUAAAAAAUUUCACCCCCAGUGAUUCCAUAGUUACCUUUAGUCAGAUCCUUAAUACUUGCAACCUCUGAAGCUCUUUCAAAUUCAGAUUGUGAAUGGCCCUUCUCGUCUUUCUCCAUCUUCAGUUUGUCUGAUAUUGUAUACACUUCCCCUAGCAAAUUCUCUUUUUUUUCCUGCAUAAAGGAAUGAUUUUUGCUAUGUCGUUACAGAAUUAAGAGAAAAUGUGUUUAACUUAUCUAACAUUGGCAGAGCAGCACUGAAGUUACAACAGGAUAUUUGUCAGACUAACCCUGCGAUAUUGGAACUGCAUGUAUUAGCAAGAUCUCUGUUUUAUCAUUGAAAUGGAGUUACUAACCCAAGCCUAGUGGUAAAAGCCGCAGAUGUCCCAACAUAGGACCUAUUCAGUAAACCCAUGUUUGAGAAUCCCCCCAGAAAGAGUUGCUAUUACUCUUCCCUGUAUUAACCAAUUAAUCUCCAACAGGACCUAUUUACUCUUCGUAUAAUGUAUCAGAUAUUCUUCAUUGGCGUAAAGAGACUGCAACAGUAUGGAGGGAGGUGAUUAGGAAUGAUAUGGAGCAGUUACAGCUUACGGAGGACAUGACCCUUGAUAGGAAGGUGUGGAGGACGCGGAUUAGGGUAGAGGGUUAGGGGGUGGGAGUGCGUCGGUAUCAGUAGGGGAGCGUUCUUUUGUGUCUAGAGUUUCUUGUUCGUGGUGUUGUGGCUGUAGUAUUAUCUUGGGGCUAGCGGUGUUAGUUUAUUUUGCAUACCGUACUAGCUUAUAUGCACUUAUCUUUUGUGUUUGUUAUAUUGUUGGUUUAUUUUGCAUACCGUACUAGUUUACAUGUACUUAUCUUUUGUGUUUACUAUACUAUUAUCGGUCCUAAGCCGGGGUCUAUCGGAAACAACCUUUCUACCUCUCUACCUCACCUGAGGUAAUGGUAUGGUCUGCGUACACUCUACACUCCCUAGACCCCACUAUGUGGGAAUAUACUGGGUAUGUUGUUGUUGUUGUUGUUGGCGUAAAGAGACUGCAGUAUUAAACAAUAGGAAAAACAAUGCAGGAAUACUUCUACCUACAAUAUUUGAAGUUUGUGAAAAGUCGAUGAGAUACUGUUUAUUGCAUGUACAAGUGAUGUGUUAGUGGCUUCUAAAGAAAGAUAAAUUUUGAGUUAUCAGUUGGGUAAAUACAGAUUAGUUCGUCAGUUGGGGGCUUAAGUUAUUUACUUCUGAGAGUAUAUAUAUUAAUUACCAGUAGCAUGUUUCUAGAUUAGCUUGAUGUGACAAAGAAGUUAUAUAGAGAAUUUGAAGUGUUGGUGUCAAACAGUCAUGAUAAUCCAAUUACCUCUAACAUUUUCCGUUAAGUGUUUCUAAAAUAUGAGAAUAUUGAUUUGAAAUGUAUAUUUAUAAUUUCUCCAUGUAAGAACUUGAGUGGAACAAUUCUCCUUCCAGGCUAACUAGAUGUCGUCUCACACAAUUAAAAUGAGGAACACGUUGUUGUUCUAAGCUCAUGUUCGCUCCUCAAAACUAACACCUCAGACCAUACUAAACUUCAUUUCAGAAUAUGACAGCUAAUGUUAAAAUGAAGUAUUCACUUUCUCCUUGCUAAAGCUACCACAAUCUGUUAUGGAGUCGGGGCAAUACAAUUAACAAGAAAAUGAAUCUUUAGUUACACCCAAACUCAGCCUUUGUUUCCCUAUAGUUCUCUUUCGACCACAAGCUAUAAUUUUCUUUUAAUUAAACCAGUAUCUUUCAAUGCUAAUUUAUUUACGAAGAGUUUUUUUGAAAGUCAGAUUUCAUUAAUUCGUUUCUGUGCUAAUUUAAGUUUUCCCUAGGUAUUCUUUUUGUCAAUAUCUAUAUUCUAUAGUCUUUUGGAGAGGGUCAAGUUUUCAGUACUACAUUAUUAAAGGUGAGUAGUUGAGAAUUAAUAAUUGUGCUGAUUUGUUUCUGUGCCAUUUCUUUUUAGGCUAGCUUUGGAUGGCUUCAGGAGGAGUAGAGGUAGGCGAAAGAAAUACUGGAGGGAGGUAAUUAGGUAGGACAUGAAGUUGUUUCAGCUUACUGAGGACAUGACCCUAGACAGGAAGGUGUGGAGGUCGUGGAUUAGGGUAGAAGGCUAGUGUGAGUGGGUGGGUUGUGGCUAGGUGUUAGUAGAGUUUGGGUGUGAUAGGUGUCUUAGGUCUGUGAAUGUGUGUGACUACUACAUGGGUAUCCGUUUUCCUUAUUUCUUAUUACGUAUUGUUCGUUGUUCUCUUAUUUUCUUUUCUCGGAUAUCUAGUGUUAUUAUUUCUUACCUUUUAUUUUGUUAUGCUACCCAUCCAGUUUUAUAUUUCAUUACGAUCUUGGUAUAUUAUUCUAUAUCUUGAGCCGGGGGUCUAUCGGAAUCAACCUCUCUACUUCCUCGGAGGUAGCGGUAUGGACUGCGUACAUUUUACCCUCCCCAGACCUCACUUUGUGGGAAUACACUGGGACUGUUGUUGUUGUUGUUGUUGUAUUACCCCUCCAUACAUACACAUAUAUAGAAGUCAAGUUGCUAUUGCCUAAGAAGAAGAUCAACUAAAAUAUAGAACAUACAGCCAGGAACUUGUAUGUUAUCUCAGGAUCGAGUUUUUAUUGUAAAAUAAACAAUUUGAACCAGUUGAAUAUCUACUAAUUGUAGAAAUAACAUACAAGUUCCGAAAAUAGGAAACCUCUAUUAAAUGAUGGGCAAAUCUAAACAAAUUUUCUUUUUUCAUCGAAGACUGCAUGGCAGUAAUUUUAGAUGAAGACGGUAACCCUUAAUUCGGUUCUUUAGCGACCAUCUUUGUGGUUUGAAGAAAAUUGGUAAUGAUCUGGUAAAGUUAUUUCACUAGCAUACUUCAUAUUACACAGUUGUUUCAGAUAUGAUCUCUGAUCAUGCAGUGUCUUUUUUCUCAGAAAAAGGUCUUUUCACAUACAUGAAAGCAAUCUUGACUACUGAAAAAAAGAUGUAGAAGUAACUGUUGCGGCUAAUGGAAAUGAUAAACACGCAAAAUGAUGAAGUAUCAUGCUCACAUAAAGUAAAACAAGUGAGUUAACUUACGCUUUUGUUCUCUGGUAUUUCAGCUAUGUAUUCCAAUUCUCGUGAGCUGAUCGCUGAAUUGCUGUGUUUACGUUUUCUCAACCUCCCUAAAGACUAUCAGAGUGUGUUUUGUACAACUGAACUGGACUGAAAAUUCUCAUAGCUAUAAGUAGAGAUUCUCUAAGUAUGUCGAUGCAGGAUUACAAUAGUUAUAUAAUUAUUAAUUGAUGACCAUGUUGUUAAAGUAGAUAGAAAAUGACAAAUCCACUUGCUAAUCCUACUAAUAUUAUGAGUUGGAAAUAGACGUGGUCCUUUUGAAUGAUGAGUAGUCACAUGCCCCUCUAGUAUAGCUUUUCUAGUCAUCAAACAGUCAGAUAAUUGUUUCUAAUUUAUAACUGCAGGGAUUGUGCUGCUGACAAGAAGAAACUGCCACAAGAAUUUACUGUUCACUUCAUCCCAG